UACGAAGGGGGGCUAGCGUUGUUCGGAAUUACUGGGCGUAAAGGGCGCGUAGGCGGCGUGUCAAGUCAGGCGUGAAAGCCCGGGGCUCAACUCCGGAAUUGCCUUUAAGACUGCAUCGCUCGAAUUGUGGAGAGGUAAGUGGAAUUCCGAGUGUAGAGGUGAAAUUCGUAGAUAUUCGGAAGAACACCAGUGGCGAAGGCGACUUACUGGACACAUAUUGACGCUGAGGUGCGAAAGCGUGGGGAGCAAACAGG
This 254-nucleotide ribosomal RNA is filed under the name uncultured bacterium. RNAcentral's name for it is "partial 16S ribosomal RNA". It matches the Rfam family "Bacterial small subunit ribosomal RNA", at positions 524 to 776 of the family's 1533-position model. The record is from RNAcentral.